GGCGGAUGUAGCAUCACUCAUUCCUCGAAAAGCAACAGUCAUGAACACUAAGAUCUUCAUCCUGCUUGGCCUGGCAGCCAUCAUUGCUGCAGACAGCCCAGAGAUUUUCGCUUAUGGACCUCCUCGGGGAUCCUCCGAAGAAUCAUUCGAGUCGUUUGAGUCAGGAGAAGCCAAGUACGACUUCAAUUAUGCUGUUCAGCACGAGGACUCGUGCUGA
Penaeus indicus is the source of this 217-nucleotide long non-coding RNA. RefSeq lists it as uncharacterized. The record is from RefSeq and is a predicted model, not a curated record. The transcript has 3 exons. NCBI's taxonomy places the organism in Eukaryota, Metazoa, Arthropoda, Malacostraca, Decapoda, Penaeidae.